UCUUGAAACACGGACCAAGGAGUCUAGCGUGUGCGCGAGUCAUUGGGUGUUAAAACCUAAAGGCGCAAUGAAAGUGUCAGGGGGCGCCCAGCGCCCCCGGCGGRAGGAUGGGUUCCCGGCCCCAGGGCCGGAGCCCCGCACUCCCGGGGCGUCUCAUUCUCGAUCCGAGUCGAGACGCACCAGGAGCGCUCACGCUGGAACCCGAAAGAUGGUGAACUAUGCCUGGCCAGGACGAAGCCAGGGGAAACCCUGGUGGAGGUCCGAAGCGAUUCUGACGUGCAAAUCGAUCGUCUGAGCUGGGUAUAGGGGCGAUAGACCAAUCGAACCAUCUAGUAGCUGGUUCCCUCUGAAGUUUCCCUCAGGAUAGCUGGCUCUCGGGAAGAGACGAGUCUCAUCCGGUAGAGCGAAUGAUUAGAGGUGAUGGGGUCGAAACGACUUCAACCUAUUCUCAAACUCCCAAUAGAUGAGAGCCCCGGCUUGCUUGAAAGUGAAGCCGCCGGGAUUCGGAUCGGAGAGGCCAAGUGGGCCAAU
RNAcentral lists this ribosomal RNA (531 nucleotides) under Laryngodus sp. WCW-2003. RNAcentral describes it as "eukaryotic LSU rRNA". It matches the Rfam family "Eukaryotic large subunit ribosomal RNA", at positions 652 to 1135 of the family's 3401-position model. Lineage: Eukaryota; Metazoa; Arthropoda; Insecta; Hemiptera; Rhyparochromidae. The record is from RNAcentral.